Long non-coding RNA from Pocillopora damicornis (cauliflower coral), 347 nucleotides. NCBI's taxonomy places the organism in Eukaryota, Metazoa, Cnidaria, Anthozoa, Scleractinia, Pocilloporidae. The record is from RefSeq and is a predicted model, not a curated record.
UACGGAUCCGAACAAGAAGAAACCUAUAUUCGGGUUAAUUGGACCAACAGAGCUCACUGCUUUUAACGGGACAGAAAUCACCAUAACAGGGUAUUACCAAUACUGCUGGGAAAGGAUCAAGAAAGUCGCUUUAUCGCGCCAGCCUAUUGUGAUGCUAUUUGGAGAAUGUAAAUGCUUGGAUUCUAUUGUGAUGCCCAAUUGCGAAAACGUCACUCAAUUUGAAACUCGUUUCUUGGCUCCGGAGGCUCCAGGAACUUAUACGAUUAUGAUGGGAGAAAACGAGAGGAGUAAUACAAGAUGUAACGUAUCUAAGAUAAAAGACGUGGUUAAUGUAGGCACUGUUGAAG